CUGAACCAGCCAAGUAGCGUGAAGGAUGACUGCCCUAUGGGUUGUAAACUUCUUUUAUAUGGGAAUAAAGUGGUCCACGUGUGGACUUUUGUAUGUACCAUAUGAAUAAGGAUCGGCUAAGUCCGUGCCAGCAGCCGCGGUAAUACGGAGGAUCCGAGCGUUAACCGGAUUUAUUGGGUUUAAAGGGAGCGUAGGCGGAUUGUUAAGUCAGUUGUGAAAGUUUGCGG
RNAcentral lists this ribosomal RNA (227 nucleotides) under uncultured Bacteroidaceae bacterium. RNAcentral's name for it is "partial 16S ribosomal RNA". It matches the Rfam family "Bacterial small subunit ribosomal RNA", at positions 383 to 607 of the family's 1533-position model. The record is from RNAcentral. Lineage: Bacteria; Pseudomonadati; Bacteroidota; Bacteroidia; Bacteroidales; Bacteroidaceae.